UACGGGGGGGGCAAGCGUUGUUCGGAAUUACUGGGCGUAAAGGGCUCGUAGGUGGCCAACUAAGUCAGACGUGAAAUCCCUCGGCUUAACCGGGGAACUGCGUCUGAUACUGGAUGGCUUGAGUUUGGGAGAGGGACGCGGAAUUCCAGGUGUAGCGGUGAAAUGCGUAGAUAUCAUGAGGAACACCAGAGGCGAAGGCGGCUACCUGGACAGUUACUGACGCUCAGGCACGAAAGCGUGGGGAGCAAAAGGG
Molecule: ribosomal RNA, 253 nt
Filed under: uncultured bacterium
Lineage: Bacteria
Description: partial 16S ribosomal RNA
Rfam family: Bacterial small subunit ribosomal RNA
Source: RNAcentral